GUGCCCUCUGAAGCUGUGCUAGCUGGCAUCCCUGUCACAUCAAUGUCCUUCAAGGAGUCUUAGACCCAGGCACACUUCAGUAGGAAUGUCACCACCAUUAAUUAUCUGAAAGCAAAAUUUUAAUUGUGACUGUGAAUGUGAACUUUGCCUCCUAGGAAUCUUUCUACAGUCUUCAUAGUACAUAGUUAAAAUAUUUCUUCUCAGCCCAGAGGAAAACUUUAGUGUAUUCCCAGGAGGGGCUUCUGCAACCAUAAAAGCACUUACAAUGAGUACAAUGGUCAGCUAUACAUCAAGGUCACCAAAAUGAACUGUUGCCUUUGAACCUCAGGUCCUAAAUAAUUUGCAGAGAGUGUCCAAGUUCAAGGGCUUUCCAUGCACAGUUUUACUGUGGAAGCCUCUUCUUCCAGACCAUAAGUGAGCUUAGAAAAAGUAAAUAAUAAAUAUAUUUUGGUUUUUGUUGGGAGAAAAAAGGCAAGAACCAGAUUGUCCUCUUAUUAUACCUACUAUGUUUUUUUCUUAUGCGGUGCUUUUUACUAGGCAUCCAAUAUGAUUGGAUUCAUUCUGGAUUGCAUUUAAGAUUUUUCCCUCAUAUAGAUACCCCCAAAACAUAGAAGGGAUCUAUUGAGGACAGGUAGCUCCCCUUAUAUUCUUGUCAUUAGUGAAUAUUUAUGAAUAUCUGAUAGCUCUUAACCUGUCAGCUGAGUCUUCUUCAGAUCUAAAUAAUUCCAGGGAGAGAAUUAAGAGAAAUUUGGUUAAAGGUAUGAUUUUACUUCACGUAAACAGCUUUCUAAAGAUUUAUAUAAAGCUAAUUCUGCUGGCUCAGUACUGUAAGAAAUAGAAUCGUGCUACAUGGUAUGGCAGCAAUUGUGUUACCUCGGAAGGCAUAAAUCACUUGGCUAAUUUGGCUAAUCACAUGAGUAGUUAGCAUACACAUUUUAUUUACCAAGGCCGAUAAAAAAGAACUCCCAGAAGUUGGCUGUAUUUGAAUCAAAUGUCACUGUCAAGAUAAGACAAUAUCGAUUCCAUAAUACAUACUGUUAUUUUCUAAUGUAUCCAUAAUGAAAAAGUCCAUCAUGAAAAGUAAUAUAAAAUAUGGAUUUUGUAUCAAAACUCUGUCAAAAAGUACAGUUCACAUCAGACAUUAAUAGCACCGGGGAGUUAAAAGAUUAAUCCAAAGACAAAUACAUAUUACAGAUGUUUCUUUGUUCUUCACUUACCAUGAUGCAAACUGCAAGGAUUUAACCUUUA
Molecule: long non-coding RNA, 1248 nt
Filed under: Felis catus (domestic cat)
Lineage: Eukaryota; Metazoa; Chordata; Mammalia; Carnivora; Felidae
Description: lncRNA (ENSFCAG00000048494.1)
Source: RNAcentral